Molecule: ribosomal RNA, 2930 nt
Filed under: Escherichia coli
Lineage: Bacteria; Pseudomonadati; Pseudomonadota; Gammaproteobacteria; Enterobacterales; Enterobacteriaceae
Description: 23S ribosomal RNA
Rfam family: Bacterial large subunit ribosomal RNA
Source: RNAcentral
GGGUUGUGAGGUUAAGCGACUAAGCGUACACGGUGGAUGCCCUGGCAGUCAGAGGCGAUGAAGGACGUGCUAAUCUGCGAUAAGCGUCGGUAAGGUGAUAUGAACCGUUAUAACCGGCGAUUUCCGAAUGGGGAAACCCAGUGUGUUUCGACACACUAUCAUUAACUGAAUCCAUAGGUUAAUGAGGCGAACCGGGGGAACUGAAACAUCUAAGUACCCCGAGGAAAAGAAAUCAACCGAGAUUCCCCCAGUAGCGGCGAGCGAACGGGGAGCAGCCCAGAGCCUGAAUCAGUGUGUGUGUUAGUGGAAGCGUCUGGAAAGGCGUGCGAUACAGGGUGACAGCCCCGUACACAAAAAUGCACAUGCUGUGAGCUCGAUGAGUAGGGCGGGACACGUGGUAUCCUGUCUGAAUAUGGGGGGACCAUCCUCCAAGGCUAAAUACUCCUGACUGACCGAUAGUGAACCAGUACCGUGAGGGAAAGGCGAAAAGAACCCCGGCGAGGGGAGUGAAAAAGAACCUGAAACCGUGUACGUACAAGCAGUGGGAGCACGCUUAGGCGUGUGACUGCGUACCUUUUGUAUAAUGGGUCAGCGACUUAUAUUCUGUAGCAAGGUUAACCGAAUAGGGGAGCCGAAGGGAAACCGAGUCUUAACUGGGCGUUAAGUUGCAGGGUAUAGACCCGAAACCCGGUGAUCUAGCCAUGGGCAGGUUGAAGGUUGGGUAACACUAACUGGAGGACCGAACCGACUAAUGUUGAAAAAUUAGCGGAUGACUUGUGGCUGGGGGUGAAAGGCCAAUCAAACCGGGAGAUAGCUGGUUCUCCCCGAAAGCUAUUUAGGUAGCGCCUCGUGAAUUCAUCUCCGGGGGUAGAGCACUGUUUCGGCAAGGGGGUCAUCCCGACUUACCAACCCGAUGCAAACUGCGAAUACCGGAGAAUGUUAUCACGGGAGACACACGGCGGGUGCUAACGUCCGUCGUGAAGAGGGAAACAACCCAGACCGCCAGCUAAGGUCCCAAAGUCAUGGUUAAGUGGGAAACGAUGUGGGAAGGCCCAGACAGCCAGGAUGUUGGCUUAGAAGCAGCCAUCAUUUAAAGAAAGCGUAAUAGCUCACUGGUCGAGUCGGCCUGCGCGGAAGAUGUAACGGGGCUAAACCAUGCACCGAAGCUGCGGCAGCGACGCUGAUGCGUUGUUGGGUAGGGGAGCGUUCUGUAAGCCUGCGAAGGUGUGCUGUGAGGCAUGCUGGAGGUAUCAGAAGUGCGAAUGCUGACAUAAGUAACGAUAAAGCGGGUGAAAAGCCCGCUCGCCGGAAGACCAAGGGUUCCUGUCCAACGUUAAUCGGGGCAGGGUGAGUCGACCCCUAAGGCGAGGCCGAAAGGCGUAGUCGAUGGGAAACAGGUUAAUAUUCCUGUGCUUGGUGUUACUGCGAAGGGGGGACGGAGAAGGCUAUGUUGGCCGGGCGACGGUUGUCCCGGUUUAAGCGUGUAGGCUGGUUUUCCAGGCAAAUCCGGAAAAUCAAGGCUGAGGCGUGAUGACGAGGCACUACGGUGCUGAAGCAACAAAUGCCCUGCUUCCAGGAAAAGCCUCUAAGCAUCAGGUAACAUCAAAUCGUACCCCAAACCGACACAGGUGGUCAGGUAGAGAAUACCAAGGCGCUUGAGAGAACUCGGGUGAAGGAACUAGGCAAAAUGGUGCCGUAACUUCGGGAGAAGGCACGCUGAUAUGUAGGUGAAGUCCCUCGCGGAUGGAGCUGAAAUCAGUCGAAGAUACCAGCUGGCUGCAACUGUUUAUUAAAAACACAGCACUGUGCAAACACGAAAGUGGACGUAUACGGUGUGACGCCUGCCCGGUGCCGGAAGGUUAAUUGAUGGGGUCAGCGCAAGCGAAGCUCUUGAUCGAAGCCCCGGUAAACGGCGGCCGUAACUAUAACGGUCCUAAGGUAGCGAAAUUCCUUGUCGGGUAAGUUCCGACCUGCACGAAUGGCGUAAUGAUGGCCAGGCUGUCUCCACCCGAGACUCAGUGAAAUUGAACUCGCUGUGAAGAUGCAGUGUACCCGCGGCAAGACGGAAAGACCCCGUGAACCUUUACUAUAGCUUGACACUGAACAUUGAGCCUUGAUGUGUAGGAUAGGUGGGAGGCUUUGAAGUGUGGACGCCAGUCUGCAUGGAGCCGACCUUGAAAUACCACCCUUUAAUGUUUGAUGUUCUAACGUGGACCCGUAAUCCGGGUUGCGGACAGUGUCUGGUGGGUAGUUUGACUGGGGCGGUCUCCUCCUAAAGAGUAACGGAGGAGCACGAAGGUUGGCUAAUCCUGGUCGGACAUCAGGAGGUUAGUGCAAUGGCAUAAGCCAGCUUGACUGCGAGCGUGACGGCGCGAGCAGGUGCGAAAGCAGGUCAUAGUGAUCCGGUGGUUCUGAAUGGAAGGGCCAUCGCUCAACGGAUAAAAGGUACUCCGGGGAUAACAGGCUGAUACCGCCCAAGAGUUCAUAUCGACGGCGGUGUUUGGCACCUCGAUGUCGGCUCAUCACAUCCUGGGGCUGAAGUAGGUCCCAAGGGUAUGGCUGUUCGCCAUUUAAAGUGGUACGCGAGCUGGGUUUAGAACGUCGUGAGACAGUUCGGUCCCUAUCUGCCGUGGGCGCUGGAGAACUGAGGGGGGCUGCUCCUAGUACGAGAGGACCGGAGUGGACGCAUCACUGGUGUUCGGGUUGUCAUGCCAAUGGCACUGCCCGGUAGCUAAAUGCGGAAGAGAUAAGUGCUGAAAGCAUCUAAGCACGAAACUUGCCCCGAGAUGAGUUCUCCCUGACUCCUUGAGAGUCCUGAAGGAACGUUGAAGACGACGACGUUGAUAGGCCGGGUGUGUAAGCGCAGCGAUGCGUUGAGCUAACCGGUACUAAUGAACCGUGAGGCUUAACCUUACAACGCCGAAGCUGUU